AACUCUACAAUGCAGGCAACUGCGAUAGGGGGACAUCGAGUGAUACCCACCUUGGGUAUCUGUCCCACCGUCUAAAAAACGGUGGUUAGCAAGGGCCGGGUAAGACCGGUGCCAGCCGCCGCGGUAAUACCGGCGGCUCGAGUGGUGGCCGAUAUUAUUGAGUCUAAAGGGUCCGUAGCCGGCUCCGUGGGUCCCCCGGGAAAUCCAGCGGCUUAACCGUUGGUCGUCCGUGGGAUACCGCGUUGCUUGGGACCGGGAGAGGUGGGAGGUACUCGGGGGGUAGGGGUGAAAUCCUGUAAUCCUCCGGGGACCACCGGUGGCGAAGGCGUCCCACCAGAACGGGUCCGACGGUGAGGGACGAAAGCUAGGGGCACGAACCGGAUUAGAUACCCGGGUAGUCCUAGCCGUAAACGAUGCCCGCUAGGUGUCACGGCGGUCGUGAAUCGCCGUGGUGCCGUAGGGAAGCCGCGAAGCGGGCCACUUGGGAAGUACGGCCGCAAGGCUGAAACUUAA
This 513-nucleotide ribosomal RNA is filed under the name uncultured archaeon. RNAcentral's name for it is "bacterial SSU rRNA". It matches the Rfam family "Archaeal small subunit ribosomal RNA", at positions 346 to 859 of the family's 1478-position model. The record is from RNAcentral.